UACGUAGGGGGCAAGCGUUGUCCGGAUUUAUUGGGCGUAAAGAGCGUGUAGGCGGCUAGGUAGGUCCGUUGUGAAAACUCGAGGCUCAACCUCGAGACGCCGGUGGAAACCAUCUAGCUAGAGUCCGGAAGAGGAGAGUGGAAUUCCAGGUGUAGCGGUGAAAUGCGUAGAUAUCUGGAGGAAUACCGGUGGCGAAGGCGGCAUCCUGGACCGGCAUUGACGCUGAGGAGCGAAAGCUAGGGGAGCAAACGGG
This 253-nucleotide ribosomal RNA is filed under the name uncultured bacterium. RNAcentral's name for it is "partial 16S ribosomal RNA". It matches the Rfam family "Bacterial small subunit ribosomal RNA", at positions 524 to 776 of the family's 1533-position model. The record is from RNAcentral.